CUACGGGUGGCUCCAGUGAGGAAUAUUGCACAAUGGGGGGAACCCUGAUGCAGCAACGCCGCGUGGAGGAUGACGCAUUUCGGUGUGUAAACUCCUUUUAUAUGUCAAGAAAAUGACGGUAGCAUAUGAAUAAGCACCGGCUAACUCCGUGCCAGCAGCCGCGGUAAUACGGAGGGUGCAAGCGUUACUCGGAAUCACUGGGCGUAAAGGACGCGUAGGCGGGUUGGAAAGUCAGGUGUGAAAUCCUACAGCUUAACUGUAGAACUGCACUUGAAACUUCUAAUCUAGAGUAUGGGAGGGGGGGAUGGAAUUAGUGGUGUAGGGGUAAAAUCCGUAGAUAUCACUAGGAAUACCUAAAGCGAAGGCGAUCUCCUGGAACAUUACUGACGCUAAGGCGUGAAAGCGUGGGGAGCAAACAGGAUUAGAUACCCGUGAGUC
RNAcentral lists this ribosomal RNA (438 nucleotides) under uncultured bacterium. RNAcentral's name for it is "partial 16S ribosomal RNA". It matches the Rfam family "Bacterial small subunit ribosomal RNA", at positions 339 to 795 of the family's 1533-position model. The record is from RNAcentral.